UGAUGACUUGUACAUAGCACUAAGAUG
This 27-nucleotide small RNA is filed under the name Bombyx mori (domestic silkworm). RNAcentral's name for it is "ovarian small RNA-8350". Lineage: Eukaryota; Metazoa; Arthropoda; Insecta; Lepidoptera; Bombycidae. The record is from RNAcentral.